This 270-nucleotide ribosomal RNA is filed under the name uncultured archaeon. Its description in RNAcentral is "partial 16S ribosomal RNA". It matches the Rfam family "Archaeal small subunit ribosomal RNA", at positions 477 to 747 of the family's 1478-position model. The record is from RNAcentral.
CAGCACCUCAAGUGGUCAGGAUGAUUAUUGGGCCUAAAACAUCCGUAGCCGGCUCUGUAAGUUUUCGGUUAAAUCUGUACGCUCAACGUACAGGCUGCCGGGAAUACUGCAGAGCUAGGGAGUGGGAGAGGUAGACGGUACUCGGUAGGAAGGGGUAAAAUCCUUUGAUCUAUUGAUGACCACCUGUGGCGAAGGCGGUCUACCAGAACACGUCCGACGGUGAGGGAUGAAAGCUGGGGGAGCAAACCGGAUUAGAUACCCGAGUAGUCC